Molecule: ribosomal RNA, 432 nt
Filed under: uncultured bacterium
Lineage: Bacteria
Description: partial 16S ribosomal RNA
Rfam family: Bacterial small subunit ribosomal RNA
Source: RNAcentral
AGCGAACGCUGGCGGCAGGCCUAACACAUGCAAGUCGAACGGAUCCUUCGGGAUUGGUGCCGGACGGGGGGGUACACGGGGGGAACGUGCCUUUGGGUCGGGAAAACCUAGGGGAAACUUGACCUAAAACGGGUGUUGCCCUCGGGGGAAAGGUUUAUCGCCAUUGGAGCGGCCCGCGUCUGAUUAGCUAGGUGGUGAGGUAACGGGCCACCAAGGGGACGAUCAGUAACUGGUCUGAGAGGAUGAUCAGCCACACUGGGACUGAGACACGGCCCAGACUCCUACGGGAGGCAGCAGUGGGGAAUCUUGCGAAAUGGGCGAAAGCCUGACGCAGCCAUGCCGCGUGAAUGAUGAAGGUCUUAGGAUUGUAAAAUUCUUUCAGCGGGGACGAUAAUGACGGUACCCGCAGAAGAAGCGCCGGCUAACUUCGUG